RNAcentral lists this ribosomal RNA (711 nucleotides) under Triticum aestivum (bread wheat). RNAcentral's name for it is "partial small subunit ribosomal RNA". The record is from RNAcentral. Lineage: Eukaryota; Viridiplantae; Streptophyta; Magnoliopsida; Poales; Poaceae.
AUGUUUCAGUUGGUCAGAUGGAGCAUAAGUGCCGUCAGCAAAUGUGUUCUCAGCGAGAUACUAGAUGCAUGGGAGUUGACUACAUAUGUUGUGGCUAAGAUCGAUAGAAGAGAGAAUAAGUGUGAAGUGCGCUACGAGAUGAAGGAUGGUUCUUUGUACAUGAUCAGUUGUUCUUGUCGUAAGUUGGAAUGCUUGGGAACACCUUGCUCUCACAUAUUCUAUAUCUUGGGAAUACGUCAAGUAGAACUGCUACCUAGGUGUUGUGUUCCCAUGAGGUGGACGAUGAGAGCGAAGUCUGCAUUCCCUCCGACCAGAAAGAGCAAGAUGUAUGACUAUUCGGCAAGCCUUGUGAGGUACCGUGAGUUGCGGAAUUUGAGUCACGCGUCAUGUUUUCGGGCAUGUCAAUCUAGUGAGGAGUAUCAGCGUCUGAAGAUGGUUCUGAGUGAACAAGAUGGUAGCAAGGAAUCAAGCCGUGGUCAGGAGGAAUGCAUUAGGUUUGGUCCGGUGCUGCCACAGAUGACGGAAAUUGAUUGUGGAGAUUUGGAAAAGGUUCUGGACCCAGUGCAAGGCCGAGGUGCACCGAAGAAAAGGUUGCAGGCAAAGAUGAAGAAGCAAAGAUCAAAGAGGAAAUGUGGCUACUAUGGGGUGGAAGGUCAUGAUCGGCGUAUAUGCAAUAAAUUGAAAGAGGAAAUGAUGGCAGCAAACUGUUAG